Coturnix japonica (Japanese quail) is the source of this 2656-nucleotide non-coding RNA. NCBI's taxonomy places the organism in Eukaryota, Metazoa, Chordata, Aves, Galliformes, Phasianidae. The record is from RefSeq and is a predicted model, not a curated record.
AGGAACAUCUACACAUGUAACAUCAGAGCUGCGCUACCUUGAUAUUUUUUUUAACCUUUUGAGUUUGGAGGGGAUGGAAAACGAUUCCUACACCCACAUUCUGAAGCUUUUUGCGUUCUGCAGUGCAGGAGGCUGCUCCCUGUUCCAAGGCUGAUGCUGGAAUUUGUUUUCACAUGACUUUCCAAAUCUCUCCCUUCUGAGGAACAGAGCCUGCCAGGCCUAGUAGCUAUAUAUACACACUCCUGACAGUUAGACGUUUCAGCCAUGCUUGAGGUUUCAUUAUGCAUCCUGACAUUGAUACGUUCCCUGUGCAAUUAGUAGUUAAUUGGGAAAGAACACCAAAGGAAGGUACACAGGCAGAAAACUCUUACAUCUCCAGAACAAAUCUUGGCUAGAGCAAGAGCACAGGCAUUUGGCCCAGAUGAGCUUCCCUUCUUUCUUUAGGAGUAUUUAAGGCCUGUCCCAGAACCAGUUUACAUGCCACGGAUGAGUAGCAUGUUUAACUUGCUUUAAAAACUGAACUACCACGAUUCAGUAUCAGCCAAACAAGGAAACGCAAACUAUAGAUUCAUUUGUCCUCCAUGCUCUUUGCUGUGCUGCACUUUAGUAACUGGAACCUCCUCAAUUACACGCUUCAACCAUUUUUAUAAGAGCUGCUGAUGAGUCAGUUGAAUGCUCCUAACCAAGUUCUUAACAUCUGACAAUGCUAAGAACCACCUGUUAGAAAUUAACAAAUGCUGUUAGCACAGUUUUCUAUCCUCACUGUGACUGGCAUUGCAUGCCCUAUUUGAAUUCCAGUAGACUGUUAUUUCUAUGUUGCAGGUUAUAUGCAGAGACUCUAAGUUGCUGUUCACUGCUUUUCUGUAGGCAAGCAAUAUAAUUUAACUGAACAUUUUAAAGCAAAGAAAUAGCAUUUGGAUUAAGACCAAUAUCAGAUUGUUCAGAACGGUUCAAACCUUCUCUACUGGAACAACUACCAUACUAACAAUGUGUUCUGUGGGCCCCGAGAUGGUGUAGGUUUAGUUUAACCACGUAUCCUCCUACAGUACGUACUGAGAUGGUUCUGUUAAUCUUUUUUUCUUCAUACAAGGUGUUUCACCAGCCAGCAAACCAUUUAUAAAUGCUGUCACAGUUUGAUUUUAGCAGGAGAAAUGCUCUCAAGCAAGUUAGUUUCUUUUCAGGAACUUAUUUUUGUUCUUGUCAUGAAAAAACAAGCAGUGACAGGAACAUUACAUUAUAAUUCAGCAGAAGCUUCAGAUUCACUUCCAGUAACACUCAAUGCCUUUUCUCUUUCUUCCUAUUGCUUUGAUUGAGUUGUUUGGUCCAGGUGUUGCCCAGGACUGUAGAUUCACUUCCUCACACACAAAACAUAUGAAGAGUUUCCAGCCAGCAAUUUUGCUUUCUUUUUUUUGUACUUUUCAGACAAAGAAGAAAAAAAUCUAAUGAUUAAUCAAGAUGGCACAAGCAGAAUUGUCACAGUUUGCUUCCAGAGAGCAACUGUCCUUUGGUGAUAAAGAAACAACGCUGCAAACACAGUGAAAAAAGUUGGAUAAUUUUAUCAUAUCUGUUGGUUCCUCUACUUUGAAUUAUAGCAGGCUACAGGCCCUACACGUUAUUGGAGUAAGUUAACCAGCAUUUGUUUUUCCUCUGUUACCGUGUUGGGACCUGAAAGGAGAAGUAAAAGGAGGGUGGGAUGUGAAGGGAGAGAGGGAGAGCAGGGAGUACAAGACAGGUGGUCAGGGUGAAAGGUGGGCAGAAGUAGCUUCAUUAAGUAUGUCCAAGGAAAGUGCGUUCAGUAGAACUGCUCACAUUUUCACUUUGUCAGUCUGCUAACAAACAUUUCUCACAAAGAAAUUCCUACCCUGGGGGUGGUCUUGUUCUUCUUGUUAGAAAUACCAAAGUAGUACUCAGAGGCUCCAUACUCUCACUGAUUGUUUGUGAAGGACACUGCAGGAUGUACUUAGCAGUGUUUUAUUUAUGCUUAAAGAGAAAACUAAAGGAACUAUCUCAUAAUCGUUACCUUUACUGUUCUUUUACUCUAGGGCAAAGACUGGAUGGACACAAGAAUACAAGAGAUCAGGGAAACACGGUAACAUUUAUAUAAUUUAUGCUAUAGAUGCUAACAUUUACUACCUUUAUGAUAAUUAAGGUAAUCAGAUGUCAGACUAUCAGGAAGAAAAAACGUUUUACUUACAUAUCAACACAGCACUGAGGCUUCACUGCACCAGUCGCAUCCACCACCGCAUACUUAUUUGGAGUUGUACAAAGAACUGCAAAGAAAAGGACAGCAGAGGUGACAAGUCACAAAUUAACACCUCAAUUAUUUCAUCAACAGAUACAAGUGAAGACAGGGCUUUGGUUUCAUCGCAAAUAUGAUCGGUUACACGAACUAUAAUUGGAUUGUUCAAGAUCACCAACUAAUCCUUAAAUACAACUUAACCUAAGAAACCCACCUUUGAAUUUUAAGGCAAACUCAUAGGGGUUAUAUAGAGUCAACACCUGCUUGUGUGUUGACUGGUCAUCUGCAUAAAAUAUAAGUUCUGUAGGAAAAACAAAAACAGGAAGAUUUCCUUCCACUAACUCUGGCUGUCUUCUUUGUUGCUGCAUUGGCACUGAAUCCUCCUUGCUGCUUCUUGUGUUCUUAUGAGAUUUGUAU